This is a long non-coding RNA of Corapipo altera (White-ruffed manakin), 752 nucleotides long. RefSeq lists it as uncharacterized. Lineage: Eukaryota; Metazoa; Chordata; Aves; Passeriformes; Pipridae. The transcript is spliced from 5 exons. The record is from RefSeq and is a predicted model, not a curated record.
CAGGCAAUUUUCUCACAUUGCAACUAUUCCUUGAAAGCAGAUCCAUCUUUCCUUGCUUUUGCCUUUAGCCCCUGUCCAGUUCUGCCACGUGUUUCAAGUUGGAGUGACCAGAGCAUGUGUGUUAUCUCCUUCUCCAUGCUUCACAAUGCCCUCUGUAUCCGCCACAUCUGGAGGUCUCCUGCCUAAAAUAAACAUCAGUGUGGUGCUCCACAGACUCUGGGGAGAUAAUGCCACGUGUCUGUGCCCAGGGGUGUUCACAGCAGGUUUCCUGCAGCCCAGUGCCCUCCAGGAUGUACAUCCCACACACGUUCAGAGCUACGAGGGAGUUGUGGUGUGCUCAAGCCUAGUGGACCUACAAGCAAGUCAGUGUAGGACAUCCUAGUCCUGCUAAUGAAGAUGUUAUCUCUGGAAACUUUCUGCAUUGCUCAGCACUGGUGCCAUCCAACUGCCAAAUAGUGACUGCAGCAACAUCCAGGAGCACUGGGUGAGCCUGCCAGUUGUAGCCACCCUCUCCCUUCCAUGUCUGAGUGUCUCUGCAGAAAUCUUUGUUUGAAGGAACCCAGUUGGCUGGUUCCUGUCUGUCUGUCUCAUGUUUCAUAGUCUCAAGUUAUUAGCUAAGAAGAUGCCAGACCUAGAGGGGUCCUCUGCAGCAAAAAUGUUAUGCCACCUGAAAACUGAUAGAAGCUUUAUUUUCUGAGCUGAAAGCAAAUGAGUGCAACAACCACGGGCACAUCUGGGGCUGCUCCAAACUG